Molecule: long non-coding RNA, 1582 nt
Organism: Setaria italica (foxtail millet)
Lineage: Eukaryota; Viridiplantae; Streptophyta; Magnoliopsida; Poales; Poaceae
Exons: 5
Source: RefSeq, a predicted model, not a curated record
GACCCCGUGGCACCGGGCCCACAAGAGGUAUCCCACACCCAAACCUCAGCACAGCACCGACGAUUCACCAAUUCAUUUCUCCUGCGGCCCACCUAUCCUUUCUCUCCUGUUCUCUCUCUCGCGCUAGAGAACUCCGGCAGCCUCAUGGCACCCCAACAUCCUCACGCGCGCGCGUCGCAGAUUCCCUAAGCGGCGGGCGCGCGCGCUGCCUCGAGCGCGCCUCCGGAGGCGAGCUGCUUCGGAUCGAGGCGUGCUGCGGCCGAUCCAGAUGGUUUGGAGCAGAUUGAAGCGGCUGGAGGAGUUCCUCACGGAGGAUCUCGACAUGGGGCGGAGUUCAAAUCCAGAGCUCUGGAGAUGAAGGAGCUCGAAUCGCCUCUGCCUCAAUCGCGCACCGGCAGCCCUCUCGUCGAUCUGGUUCCCUGCCGCCUCCGCAUCGAUGUGCUGCAAGUGCCACAUUUCUGCAGGGCUGCGAGGUCGUCGUGGCCGAGCAACUGGUGGGCAAGGCCACGGCGAUUGAAGAGGAACCUGGGUGCCUCCAUGAGCCGGGCGAGCACAACGCUACGCUGCCACUCGUCGGUCUCCGGCCAAAAUUGCACACAGGAAAUCAUCAAGUGUUCUUCCCUGUUCAGUCCUAACAUGGCAACAUAAGCUGGAGAUAUCAUUCAGUUGCUGGAAUGGGAAGCCACUGCCAAUGUACGAACAACCACCACUACAUCAUCUCAGACAAGAAUAGAUAGCCUGUGUGGAGUGUGUUGCACAUGUACGAUGAUGCCAAGUAAAAGCAAUUAAUAUGAGCUACUGAGCAAAAGGUGGGAUUGACCAUCAAACUUAAGCUGCAGCCAAGGCUGGUGGAGGGCUAGGUCAUGUGCAUGGAAGCAAAUAUCAAGUACCAAACAGAGAAGCAAAUGUGUUUGCUGUUGUCCUAGUAGUACACAUUGCAAAUACGAGUGUAUUAGUUACGGACAACGCAUUUUUUCCUGUGCUUCUGGUGUGCACAUUUUUCCUGAUUGUGUAGUUAUGAAAAAUGAAUGCUAGUGUGAUGCAGGCAAUAACAUGGUAGGAUCAUUUCUGAGAUGAAACGUGCAGGCAUCAAUAUUUUUUUGUCGUAUCCAUUACGGGGAGCUGGCAAGUGGCAGCGCUGAGGGAGGUUGGGGGAGUGCAUGCACCGAGGACAGCUUUUACCCGAAUAGGAAUGCUUGGGGACUGCUCGUUUAAUUAUUGCCUAAAAGGGUCAGGCCGUACUAGCGGCCUAAUUUACGGCGCUUCCAAUAUAAAAUAGAUUUUAAAUACUGGAAGUUUAUAAGGAAAAAAACUAUCGGAGGAAUCUUGGCGGAUUUGGAUUCGUUGCUGACAAGUUGGAUUGGCUAGUAUUGGAGGUAGAUUGGUUGCUAUGCUUAUUUAUGUGCGGAUUUUAUUUUGGACUUCGCCCACUAUCCGGUUUACAAGUAUAUGACUUAAAUGGACAUUAUUUUCUUUAUAAAAAUAUGAAUGUGUUUAUUUUACUAUUCAUGGGGAUGUUGUAAAUGUGUACAUACUUCAACGGAUUGUUAUUCAGGACAAGGAAGAUAUAUUGAAAAUGUGA